Molecule: ribosomal RNA, 599 nt
Filed under: uncultured Actinomycetes bacterium
Lineage: Bacteria; Bacillati; Actinomycetota; Actinomycetes
Description: bacterial SSU rRNA
Rfam family: Bacterial small subunit ribosomal RNA
Source: RNAcentral
GCGGCCCAUUAGCUUGUUGGUGGGGUAACGGCCUACCAAGGCGACGAUGGGUAGCUGGUCUGAGAGGACGAUCAGCCACACUGGGGACUGANNCACGGCCCAGACUCCUACGGGAGGCAGCAGUGGGGAAUCUUGCGCAAUGCGCGAAAGCGUGACGCAGCAACGCCGCGUGGGGGAAGAAGGCCUUCGGGUUGUAAACCCCUUUCAGUUGGGACGAAGCUUCUCCGGUGAAUAGCCGGGUGGAGUGACGGUACCUUCACAAGAAGCCCCGGCUAACUACGUGCCAGCAGCCGCGGUAAUACGUAGGGGGCUAGCGUUGUCCGGAAUCAUUGGGCGUAAAGAGCGUGUAGGCGGCCCGGUAAGUCCGCUGUGAAAGUCGGGGGCUCAACCCUCGAAUGCCGGUGGAUACUGUCGGGCUAGAGUGCGGAAGAGGCGAGUGGAAUUCCUGGUGUAGCGGUGAAAUGCGCAGAUAUCAGGAGGAACACCGAUUGCGAAGGCAGUUCGCUGGGACGUAACUGACGCUGAGACGCGAAAGCGUGGGGAGCAAACAGGAUUAGAUACCCUGGUAGUCCACGCUGUAAACGAUGGGCACUAGGUGU